RNA transcript from Hypanus sabinus (Atlantic stingray), 10760 nucleotides. It is a transcript of the gene named solute carrier family 39 member 9, with no coding region annotated. NCBI's taxonomy places the organism in Eukaryota, Metazoa, Chordata, Chondrichthyes, Myliobatiformes, Dasyatidae. The transcript is spliced from 3 exons. The record is from RefSeq and is a predicted model, not a curated record.
UGCAAAAUGUCAAUGUGAUAGUCAACGUGCCUAUAGUUAUGCAAUUUUUCUAGUUCCAUGUUGCUCCUUGGAGGCUUCAUGUUUAGUUUGUUGAGAUCAGUCAAAAGAUUAAAGAAUGUCUUGCUAAGAAGCACUGGGACAAAGUUCAAAAUCCAAGCUAAUCAAGUGUAGCAUCCAUACUAAGCUGUUCCAAUUCAUCAAUAUUUCCAGGAUACUUUUCAUGAACAGACCUCCUCAGGUCUGUAUUUUGACUUUCCAAACACAAACACCAUUCCGUUAUUGAUUUACUCCAGUGUUUCAGAUCAUUGUCUUGUUGCAUCAUCCAACUUCUAUUAAGCUUCAGGUGAUGGACCACUGCACUGACAUUCUCCUGUAAAAUGUUUUGAUACAAUUUUGAAUUCAUUGUUCCCUUAAUGAUUGCAAGCUGUCCAGGCCCUGAGGCAGCAAAUUAGCAAAAUUAGCAGCAAAGGAGCAUAAUGCUCCUUCCACCAUGCUUCACAAUUGGGAUGAGGUUUUGGUGUUGGUGUGCAGUGCCCUUUUUCCUCCACACAUAACAGUGUGCACUUCUGCUAGAAAGUUCAACUUCUGUCUCAUCUGUCUGCAGAAGAUUGUUUCAAAAUCAUUGUGGAACAUCCAGCUGGUCUUUUGCAAACUUGAGGCAUGUAGCAAUGAUUUUUGUUUUGGAGUGCAGCAGUUUUAAUAGUUUAACAGUUCCAUUUAAUAUCAAAAUUGUAUACAAUUGACAUCCUGAAAUUUACUUCCUUCACGGGCAUCCAUGAAAACAGAAGAAUGCCCCAAAAAAUGGAUGACAGUUAUAUCUUAGAACCCCAAAGCCCCCCAGCUCCCCUCUCCCACGCACAAGCAGCAGCCAAGAAAUGACCCCCCCACACCCGCACCCACUUACACAAAAAGCAUCAGCACCUUCCACCCACCAAGUAUGCAGUAAACACCAUGAUAUGCAGUACAACAGAAACUAAUUGUUCACCCAACAAUUUGACCUGCCACAGCCUCUCUCCCUUAAAAAAAAGGGAAAAGGAGGUGUCCCCUUUCACAGUGGGGAGAAGGGGGGGCCAUAAACAAAACAACGCGCUGAUUAUGGUGUUGGAAAUCUGUCGCGUCAUUAUUACCCCGUAGAUUCUGUGGGCUGCGAAUCAGCAACAAUCUCUCAAUAACCAACGAGAGCACAGCUGACAGUUUGCCGUCUCAGACAGCUGAUCUGCUGUUCCUGAUAGAAACAUAGAAAACAGUGCAAUACAGGCCCUUCAGCCCACAAAGCUGUGCCUAACAUGUCCCUACCUUAGAACUACCUAGGCUUUCCCCAUAGCCCUUCUCUAAGCUCCAUGUAGCCAUCCAGGAGUCUCUUAAAAGACUAUCGUUUGAGCCAUGCCCUUGAGAUAUUGAAAGAUGGCCACUGAGAGCAUGUCCCAUUAAUGCAAAGAACUGAAGUCUGAGUGUAACUCCAGGUCAGGAUCUUCAAGAGAACCCUAUCCACCCUGAAAGUAAAAAGAAGAGACAUCAAAGGUAGAAAUUAAGUUGUUUUCAUAGAUGAACAUGAAGGAGUUGCAAUUUUGAGCCAUCAUGACUUCAUCUCCGCCAAUGGGGUUUCCUUCCAUGCACAUUCUUGUUGAGUGUUUCUCUUAUAGUAGACGUGUUAUCAGAAACGUUCGCAAGUUCUGGAGAUUUUUGCAGGUCUUUUCCUGUUACCCUUGGGUUCUUUUUCACUCCUUUCAGUGUUGUACCUCUGCUCUUGGUGUGAUCUUUGCAGGACUCCCACUCCUAGGGAGUGUACUAAAUUUCCUCCAUUUGUAGACUGUUUCUCUUGCUGUGGUCUAAUGAACACUCGGCUCUUUAGAAAUGCUUUUGUAGCCUUUUCCAGCUUCAUGCAUCUCUGUAAUUCUUUUAAAGUUCUUCCUCUGAAAGUUAUUUUGAUCAAAGCAUGGUGCACGUAAACAGAUCUUUCUUGAGAUGAGCAGGCUCUGUCAGUAACCUGAUUUUAGUGUGUCUUUUUUUUUAUAUGGGACAGGGCACCUCUACAACCCACACCUCCAAUCUCAUCUCAUCAAUUGGAACACCUGACACCAAAUAGCUUUUGUAGAAGGCAUUACCCUAGAGAUUCACAUACUUUUUUGAACCCAGACUGUAAUUGUUUAAAUAUUGAUGAGAAGUAGUAGAAUUGAUUGUGUUAUUAGUUCAGGCAGAAUGUGUUUGGCUAUUAUUGUGACUUGGAUGAAGAUCAGACCACAUUUUAACCAUGUAACAAUUACAGCACAGAAAGAGGUAAUCUCGGCCCUUCUAGUCCGUGCCGAACAUUUACUCUCACCUAGUCCCACUGACCUGUACUCAGCCCAUAAUCCUCCAUUCCUUUCCUGUCCAUAUACCUAUCCAAUUUUACUUUAAAUGACAAUAUCGAACCUGCCUCUACCACAUCUACCGGAAGCCCGUUCCACACAGCUACCACUCUCUGAGUAAAGAAGUUUCCCCUUGUGUUACCCCUAAACUUUUGUCCCCUAACUCUCAACUCAUGACCACGUCAACUUUAUCUAACCCCCUCGUAAUUUUAAAUACCUCUAUCGACUCCCCCCCUCAAUGCUCCAAAGAAUAAAGACCUAUCUUGUUCAACCUUUCUCUGCAAUUUAAGUGCUGAAACCCAGGUAACAUUCUAGUAAAUCUUCUCUGUACUCUCUCUAUUUUGUUGACAUCUUUCCUAUAAUUCGGUGACCAGAACUGCACACAAUGCUCCAAAUUCGGCCUUACCAAUGCCUUGCACAACUUUAACAUUACAUCCCAACUCCUAUACUCAAUGCUCUGAUUUAUAAAGGCCAGUAUACCGAAAGCUUUCUUCACCACCCCAUCCACAUGAGAUUCCACCUUCAGGGAACUAUGCACCAUUAUUCCUAGAUCACUCUGUUCUACUGCAUUCUUCAAUGCCCUACCAUUUGCCAUGUAUGUCCUAUUUGGAUUAUUCCUACCAAAAUGUAGCACCUCACACUUAUCAGCAUUAAACUCCAUCUGCCAUCUUUCAGCUCACUCUUCUAACUGGCCUAAAUCUCUCUGCAAGCUUUGAAAACCUACUUCAUUAUCCACAAUGCCAAGUUUCUUAGUAUCAUCUACAUACUUACUAAUCCAGUUCACCACCCCAUCAUCCAGAUCAUUAAUGUAUAUGAUAAACAACAUUGGACCCAGUACAGAUCCCUGAGGUACACCACAAGUCACCGGCCUCCAACCUGACAAACAGUUAUCCACCAGUACUCUCUGGCAUCUCCCAUCCAGCCACUGUUGAAUCCAUUUUACUGCUUCAAUAUUAAUACCUCACGAUUGAACCUUCCUAACUAGCCUUCCAUGCAGAACCUUGUCAAAGGCCUUACUGAAGUCCAUAUAGACAACAUCCACUGCUUUACCCUCGUCAACUUUCCUUGUAACCUCUGCAAAAAGAUUUCAAUAAGAUUUGUCAAACAUGACCUUCCACGCACAAGUCCAUGUUGACUGUCCCUAAUCAGACCCUGCCAAUCCAAAUAAUUAUAUACAGCAUCUCUAAGAUUACUUUGCAUUAAUUUACCCACCACUGACGUCAAACUGACAGGCCUAUAAUUGCUAGGUUUACUCUUAGAACCCUUUUUAAACAAUAGAACAACAUGAGCAGUAGGCCAAUCCUCUAGCACCAUCCCCAUUUCUAAUGACAUUUGAAAUAUUUCUGUCAGAGCCCCUGCUAUUUCUACACUUACUUCCCUCAAGGUCCUAGGGAAUAUCCUGUCAGGACCCAGAGACUUAUCCACUUUCAUAUUCCUUAAAAGUGCCAGUACUUCCUCCUCUUUAAUCAUCGUAGUUUCCAUAACUUUCUUACUUGUUUCCCUUACCUUACACAAUUCAAUAUCCUUAGUGAAUACCGAAGAAAAGAAAUUGUUCAAAAUCUCCCCCACCUCUUUUGGCUCCACACAUAGCUGUCCACUCUGAUUCUCUAAGGGACCAAUUUUAUCCCUCACUAUCCUUUUUGCUAUUAAUAUAACUGUAGAAACCCUCUGGAUUUAUUUUUGCCUUACUUGCCAAAGCAACCUCAUAUCUUUUAGCUUUUCUAAUUUCUUUCUUAAGAUUCUUUUUACAUUCUUUAUAUUCCUCGAGCACCUCAUUUACUCCAUGCUGCCUAUAUUUAUUGUAGAUAUCUCUCUUUUUCCAAACCAAGUUUCCAAUAUCCUUUGAAAACCAUGGCUCUCUCAAACUUUUAACCUUUCCUUUCAACCUAACAGGAACAUAAAGAUUCUGUACCCUCAAAAUUUCACCUGUAAAUGACCUCCAUUUCUCUAUUACAUCCCUCCCACAAAACAAAUUGUCCCAAUCCACUCCUUCUAAAUCCUUUCGCAUCUCCUCAAAGUUAGCCUUUCUCCAAUCAAGAAUCUCAACCCUGCAUCCAGUCCUAUCCUUCUCCAUAAUCAUAUUGAAACUAAUGGCAUUGUGAUCACUGGACCCAAAGUGCUUCCCAGUACAUACCUCCAUCGCCUGACCUAUCUCAUUUCCUAACAGGAGAUCCAACACUGCCCCUUCUCUAGUUGGUACCUCUAUGUAUUGCUGGAAAAAACUAUCCUGCACACAUUUUACAAACUCCAAACCAUCCAGCCUUUUUACAGUAUGGGCUUCCCAGUCUAUGUGUGGAAAAUUAAUAUCUCCCACAAUCACAUCCCUGUGCUUAAAACAAAUAUCUGCUAUCUCCUUACAAAUUCGCUUCUCCAAUUCUCGCUCCCCAUUAGGUGGUCUAUAAUACACCCCUAUAAGUGUUACUGCACCUUUUCCAUUCCUCAAUUCCACCCAAAGAGUCUCCCUAGAUGAGCCCUCUAAUCUAUCCUGCCAGAGAAUCGCUGUAAUAUUUUCUCUGACGAGUAAUGCAACAGCUCCCCCUCUUGUCCCUCCGAUUCUAUCACAUCUGAAGCAACAAAAUCCAGGAAUAUUUAGUUGCCAAUCACACCCCUCCUGCAACCAUGUUUUUAUUUCCAGGUAUCAAUCCAUGCUCUAAGCUCAUCCACCUUUCUUAAAAUGCUCCUAGCAUUAAAAUGAAUGCAUUUAAGAAAUUCUCCACCUCUUACUCUCUGUUUAUCUCUAACUGUGCAAACAAUUUUACUAUCCUAUUUUUUCUUUCUUCUCCCAUACAUCUGUUCCUACACUCUGGUUCCCGUCCCCCCUUGUAUCUAGUUUAAAUCCACUGGAACCUCUCUAGCAAAGCGACCUGCAAGAAUGUUUGUCCCCCUCCAAUUCAGAUGUAAACCAUCCCACCAGAAGCCCUCCUUCCUGCACCAUGUCUUCAGCUACGUGUUGAUCUGCGCUAUCAUACUGUUUCUAAAUCCACCUGCACGUGGCUGUGGUAGCAAUCCUGAGAUUGCUAUCCUGGAGGUCCUGUCCUUUAACUUGGCACCUAGCUCCCUAAACUCACCUUUCAGGACCUCCUCAGUCUUCCUACCCACGUCAUUGGUCCCUACAUGGACCAUGACAUCCGGCUGCUCACCCUCCCUGUUGAGAAUACUGAGAACUUGAUCUGAGAUAUUACGGACCCUGGCACCAGGGAGGCAACAGACCAUCCGGGAUUCUUGAUCUCUUAUACAGAACUUCUUCCUGUCUGUCCCCCUAACUAUCGAAUCCCCUAUCAGUACCUCCUUCCCUUCUGAGCUGAGGGUCCAGUCUCGGUGCCAGAGACACAACCACUGCAACUUGUCCCUGGUAGGUCAUCCCCACCAACAGUAUCCAAAACGGUAUACUUAUUAUUGAUGGGAAUGGCCACAGGGGUUCUCUGUUCAUUCUGUCUAAUCCCCUUUUCUCUCCUGACAGUCACCCAGCGACCUGUCUCCUGACUCUUAGGGGUGAUUAUCUCCCUGUAACUCCUGUUUAUUUCUGCCUUUGCCUCCCGAAUGAUCUGGAGUUCAUCCAGCUCCAGCAAACAAGAACAUGCUGUUCUUGUUAGGGUUGCCUGUGUCUUAUCAGAAAAAGAAAAUUACUCAAACUAGGCAUAAUGUCAAUUCAAAAGUGGAGCAGUUGAUCAAACCUUUAUAUAAGGGUGGUCAGUGACUGCAUUAACAAUUUAGUAACUCAUCAGAAGUGGGAGUCAAUACCAAAGCUUUAGGAGUAACGCAGUAGAUGUUAAAAGCUAUAAUUUGGAACGAUUUUAGUGAAGAGUCGAAGUAAUACAAUUAACAGUAUUAUUUUGUGUUAUUUUGGGGGCUGUAAGGAGGUGAGAAAAGACUGAAGCAUUACCAAUAAAACUGAUGACCUAUUAAGCUGCAAAGAACUGCAUUUGGUAGGAGCCAUUCUAUAGAUGUGGCUGUAAAUAGGAUCUAGUUUCAGCAUAUUUGAGAGAUAGUAAUAAUGGAUUGGAGAUGGUAAUAGUGGAUGGGAUAAGAAUAGCAGAAAGAAAGGAUAUUUGUCUGGAAGCAUGGCAUUUGGGAUAUGGUAGUCUGAGUGGAGGAUUGGGGGAAGCAAGAUUUCAAUAAACAGAAAAUUAAUUAACAGAUGAGAGUAGGUAUAAGUGGUUCAUUUUUGGUUUGGCAGGUUGCAAAUAGUGGUGAACUGCCAGGACCUGUGCCAGGAUCUCAGCUGCAUAACGUUUUUUUUCCAAAAUUACUGAUGGUGCAACAAUAACUAUAAAGAUAGUUGAUGAGGCUGCAUUGGAAUUUUCACAGGUAGGUGGCAGAUGGAAUAUAAUACAGGGAGAACAGACUUCACUUUUACAAACUAUGGAGACAUAGAACUUGAAAAAUUGGGUAACACUGGUGUUCAGAUGCCCCUCGAGUGCUCUUGUACAUACAUCAAUGUGUUAAUGUCAGUAUGUUGGUAUGGUAAGUAAUUAGAGUGAGGUAAACGUUAUGAGAAGUCUGGAAUUUAAAAAUAUGUUUUACUUGUAUUUAUAUAGGACUUUGGUCUGCUUAGGUCCUUUUGCCCAGAAAAGGAUAUUCUUUCUUUUACGCAAGUGUAGCAAAGGUUAAAAUGAGCCUGUAAAAACUCAAAGGAUUACAGGCCAAUCAAUCAAUCUGUGAAAUUUUAUCCUAUAAAUUUUGUUGCUAUUUUCAUGAUAUUUUUGAGAAUAAUUUGAGAAGGCGAAGCUAUAGUUGGACAUAUCAAUAUUACAGUGGAGUAAAGGGAAUUACAGAGGCAUGAGGGAGGAGCUGGCCAGAAUUGAUUGAUGCUCUGCCGUCAUCCCUGCCAGUAGAAUUUUCCAAUGGUUGGAAUACCUGGGAGUAAUAUGGAAGGCACAGGAUAUAUACAUCCCAAAGAGGAAGAAAUGUUCUAAAGGCAGGAUGACACAACCGUGUCUGACAAGGGAAGUCAAAGCCAACAUAAAAGCCAAAGAGAGGGCAUAUAAUAGAGCAAAAUUAGUGGGAAGUCAGAGGAUUGGGAAGCUUUUAAAAACCAAUAGAAGACAAUUUUUUAAAAGUCAUAAAGAAGGAAAAGAUUGAAUAUAAAAUUAAGAUGGCCAAUAAUAUGAAAGAGGAUACCAAAAACUACUUCAGGUCCGUGAAGUGUAAAAGAGAGGUGAGAAUAGAUAUCGCACCACUGGAAAACAAUGCUGGAGAGGUAGUAAUGAUGGGCAAGGAAAUGGUGGAUGAACUGAAUAACUAUUUUGCAUCGGUGUUCGCUGUGGAGAUACUAGCAGUGUGCUGGAUGUUCGAAAGUGUCAGGAUUACACCCUACCCUCGUUAUAUGCGGGGGAUUCGUUCCUCGCAGUUGACGCAUAGUAUGGAAAAGGAAUAAUGUGAACAAUUGUUUAAAUGGAGAAAAUAGGGAUGCGUUCUGAAGGGCUUCCUAAAUAAACUUUAUCUGUAACUUAUUCACAUUUUCAUACCAAUUUGACACAAAAGCAGUACCACAGGGCAACAUUUGUAUUUCAUCAAUUUAAGCUAAUAUUCAACGUAAUAGAUCAUAGAAAGUUAAUGCAGUCCUUUCAUCCUUUUUGUUUCGGCAUGUGCUUCCAAAAAAGCCCAGUCUCGUCUGCAUUAAACACCUGCUUUGGUAUGAUGCCUAACUCAGCUUUUGGGCCAUUGAAGACAGAAACUGGUGAAUUUAUUAUGGGGAACAAGGAAAUGGCAGAUGAGUUGAACAGGUACUUUGGAUCUGUCUUCACUAGGGAAGACACAAACAAUCUCCCAGAUGUAAUAGUGGCCAAAGGAACUAGGGUAAAGGAUGAACUGAAGGAAAUUUAUAUUAGGCAAGAAACGGUGUUGGAUAGACUGUUGAGUCUGAAGGCUUAUAAGUCCCCGGGACCUGAUGGCCUGCAUCCCAGGGUACUUAAAGAGGUGGCUCUAGAAAUCGUGGACGCAUUGGUAAUCAUUUUCCAAUGUUCUAUAGAUUCAAGAACAGUUCCUGCUGAUUGGAGGGUGGCUAAUGUUGUCCCACUUUUCUAGAAAGGACGGAGAGAGAAAACAAGGAAUUAUAGACUGGUUAGCCUGACGUCAGUGGUGGGAAAGAUGCUGGAAUCAAUUAUAAAAGAGGAAAUUACGACACAUUUGGAUAGCAGUCGAAGGAUCAGUCUGAGUCAGCAUGGAUUUAUGAAGGGAAAAUCAUGCUUGACUAAUCUUCUGGAGUUUUUUGAGGAUGUAACUAUGAAAAUGGACAACGGAGAGCCAGUGGAUGUAGUGUACCUGGACUUCCAGAAAGCUUUUGAUAAAGUCCCACAUAGGAGAUUAGUGGGCAAAAUUAGGGCACAUGGUAUUGGGGGCAGAGUACUGACAUGGAUUGAAAAUUGGCUGGCUGACAGGAAACAAAGUGUAGUGAUUAACGGGUCCCUUUUGGAAUGGCAGGCUGUGACCAGUGGGGUACCGCAAGGUUUGGUGCUGGGACCACAGCUGUUUACAAUAUACAUUAAUAAUUUAGAUGAAGGGAUUAAAAGUAACAUUAGCAAAUUUGCUGAUAACACAAAGCUGAGUGGCAGUGUGAAAUGUCAGAAGGAUGUUAUGAGAAUGCAGGGUGACUUGGACAGGUUGGGUGAGUGGGCAAAUGUAUGGCAGAUGCAGUUUAAUGUGGAUAAAUGUGAGGUUAUCCACUUUGGUGGCAAGAUCAGGAAGGCAGAUUACUAUCUAAAUGGAGUCAAGUUAGGAAAAGGGGAAGUACAACGAGAUCUAGGUGUUCUUGUACAUCAGUCAAUGAAAGCAAGCAUGCAGGUACAGCAGGCAGUGAAGAAAGCUAAUGGCAUGCUGGCUUUUAUAACAAGAGGAAUUGAGUAUAGGAGUAAAGAGGUCCUUCUGCAGCUGUACAGGGCCCUGGUGAGACCCCACCUGGAGUAUUGUGUGCAGUUUUGGUCUCCAAAUUUGAGGAAGAACAUUCUUGCUAUUGAGGGAGUGCAGCAUAGGUUCACACGGUUAAUUCCCGGGAUGGCGGGACUGUCAUAUGUUGAAAGAUUGGAGCGACUGGGCUUGUAUACACUGGAAUUUAGAAGGAUGAGAGGGGAUCUGAUUGAAACAUAUAAGAUUAUUAAGGGAUUGGACACACUGGAGGCAGGAAGCAUGUUCCCACUGAUGGGUGAGUCCAGAACUAGAGGCCACAGUUUAAGAAUAAGGGGUAGGCCAUUUAGAACAGAAGUUCGGAAAAACUUUUUCACCCAGAGAGUGGUGGAUAUGUGGAAUGCUCUGCCCCAGAAGGCAGUGGAGACCAAGUCUCUGGAUGCAUUCGAGAGAGUUGGGGAGAGGGCAGGAACAGGGUACUGAUUGUGUAUGCAGCCAUGAUCACAGUGAAUGGCGGUGCUGGCUAGAAGGACCGAAUGGCCUACUCCUGCACCUACUGUCUAUUGUCAGCUAUCAUAGCCUGCAACAGCAAAGGGCAGCGUUCAGCAGCUUCGUGGUCGGCACUAGCUUGCUCACCCCACACAGCUAAGUUGUGAAGCCUGUGACAAUUAACAAACUUGGCAAACCAUCUCCUACUUGCAUUAAAGCUAACAAUAUCACGACGCUUCCUUGCUAGCCUCUGAACAAAGGCAACCAUAAAUUUCCAAAGCUUUCACACGAAGAUGAUCGGAACUGAGUGUUGAUUUUUCUUUGUUUCAUGCUCAAUGUACAAACUCAACAUUUUCUCCAUUUUUUUCAUAAUCGGGUUACGCAAUUUGGUAACAAUCUUUGAAGACACUUGUGAUGAAUCAAUCACUGCACUUUUUAUUUUCUCAGCAUUUUUCUUUGUUUCUGAUCGUGGACUCACCCAGGCCGAGGUAACGUUCCAGAGCUGUGUUACCUUCACCUGACGCAGCCCUGUUUACAAUUUCCAACUUUUUUUCAAAUGUUAAAGCAGUUCUCUGCCGCUUGGCUGAUGGCCCAGGACUUGACAUAGGACGAUUAGGAGACAUAGUUAAAUAUUUCAAGCACAAGAUCAGUGAACCGCAGGUAAUAACAACGAAAGUUUAACAGCGCAAGAUAGCAAAUCCACAUGCUGCCAAAACCCUUGCGAGACUGGCAGGAGUGAGGCUGAGGCGUGCGCAAGUGACUUGUAUUGGUGGGAAGGCGGUGCUUCUCAUCCCAGCAGCCUCGCAUAACUGUAGUUUUGGACGCAUAUAAGGAGAAGUUGGUAGAAAUAGGUUUGGCACAUAACUGAAUCCACAUUGUCUGAAGACACAUAUAACGAGGAUAGGGUUUAACGAGGAGAAGGUUCUUCAGAAACUGAAAGGUCUGAAGAUCCUGAGGCUGCAAGAACAGCAAACACCAAGAUCACCACCACGCUUGGCCUGGUGGUUCAUGCAGCAGCGGAUGGCAUUGCGUUGGGUGCAGCAGCUUCUACGUCACAGACGAGUGUACAGUUGAUUGUAU